RNAcentral lists this ribosomal RNA (301 nucleotides) under uncultured bacterium. RNAcentral describes it as "partial 16S ribosomal RNA". It matches the Rfam family "Bacterial small subunit ribosomal RNA", at positions 509 to 809 of the family's 1533-position model. The record is from RNAcentral.
CAGUAGCCACGGUAAUACAGAGGCCUCAAGCGUUGUUCGGAUUCAUUGGGCGUAAAGGGUGCGUAGGUGGCUUGGUAAGUUGAAGGUGAAAUCUCGGGGCUUAACCCCGAAACUGCCUUCAAUACUGCUAGGCUCGAGGACUGUAGAGGAGAAUGGAAUUCACGGUGUAGCAGUGAAAUGCGUAGAUAUCGUGAGGAAGACCAGUGGCGAAGGCGAUUCUCUGGGCAGUUCCUGACACUGAGGCACGAAGGCCAGGGGAGCAAACGGGAUUAGAUACCCGAGAGUCCCUGUCUCUUAUACA